This is a long non-coding RNA of Cyprinus carpio (common carp), 1486 nucleotides long. The record is from Ensembl. Lineage: Eukaryota; Metazoa; Chordata; Actinopteri; Cypriniformes; Cyprinidae.
UAAAAGCCAAGAUUAGAGAAGCAGUCCUUGAUAAAAUGACAUGCAAUCAACAAAAGCGUCUUCUUAAACAUGAUGUAAACACACUAAUAGCAGAAGUGUUUGUGAGCAGGUCAGACUCUGUUUGUAUUUCGCGGGCAGGUGGGGAUUAUGCAAAUGAGUUACCCAGUGACGUAUACCCGUAACAGGAAAAAGAUUCGAAAAUAUAAAGACUCGUUAAGGCGUUUCAAAACCGACUCUCUCUUUUGAUAUAAACAUAAUUUCUAGUCGUGUCUUCUUUUGGAAGGCAAAAACAAAGUAGUUUUGCUUUCUCAACGAUACAGAGUCACACCGCAGUCUUGAGCAGAGGUGGGCGGCUUGAGAACAGCUCGGCAGGAGGAUUCAACGAAGUAGCUUGCAGCAACCACAUGUGAUGACCCCGGGCUGGAAAGCUGAUCCGGCGAUCCACAGUGCAAAGUUGAUGUAUUUCCUCAGCGACCAGCACGGCUCAGCUCCAGGCAUGACGAAGCAGAUAUCGUCCUCUUUUGGAAGGCCAAACAAAGUAGUUUCGCUUUCACAGUGAAACACACAGCGUCUAUACGACAUGACGGCGACGGCAGCAACAAUACUAGAACGAGAAUAAAAGAAGUGUUGGGCUGGAUGUGGACAUUACAGACGGUCAGAUCGAGUGUCUUCUGUGCUGAACUCUUCCUGAUCGCUGGCAGACUCUGGAUCCGUGUUAUUCAGCAGCUCCACUAAUAAAGCGACGAGCUCUCGGUCCUUACAGUCUUCUGAGGAGGAUCUGCGGUCGGAGCGGUGCAGACUGCGGUGGAUCAUGGCCUGCAGGGAGGUGCGCAGAUCCCACAGUAACUCCCAGACGUGAGGAGAAAACUCCCAUCGGAUGAGUGAGUGACCCGGUAACAUUUUAUUAUAUUUAGACAAUGUCCAACUAGUCUAUUUUAGUCAAUUAAAAUUUAGUCAUAGUCAUGCUGUAUAAUGGUUAAAGUGAUAAUCACAAUUAUUAUGCUCAAAAAUUAUUAUCGUGAUUAUUUGAGAAACUGCAUGAAAAUAACUGCACUUUAAGCAGAAAUCGGCUCGUACACAUGCUGUAUUUGACCUAAUAUGGUUUCCUGAUUUAUUAUACAGGUGCUGGUCAUAUGAUUAGAAUAUCAUCAAAAGGUUGAUUUAUUUCACUAAUUCCAUUCAAAAAGUGAAACUUGUAUAUUAUAUUCAUUCAUUACACACAGACUGAUAUAUUUCAAAUGUUUAUUUCUUUUAAUUUUGAUGAUUAUAACUGACAACUAAGGAAAAUCCCAAAUUCAGUAUCUCAGAAAAUUAGAAUAUUGUGAAAAGGUUCAAUAUUGAAGACACCUGGUGCCACACUCUAAUCAGCUAAUUAACUUAAAACACCUGCAAAGGCCUUUAAAAGGUCUCUCAGUCUACAGUCGUGGCCAAACGUUUUGAGAAUUAUAUAAAUAUUAGUUUUCAAAAAGUUUUCUGCUAAACUGCU